Molecule: signal recognition particle RNA, 289 nt
Filed under: Saimiri boliviensis boliviensis (Bolivian squirrel monkey)
Lineage: Eukaryota; Metazoa; Chordata; Mammalia; Primates; Cebidae
Description: Metazoan signal recognition particle RNA (ENSSBOG00000007637.1)
Rfam family: Metazoan signal recognition particle RNA
About the family: The signal recognition particle (SRP) is a universally conserved ribonucleoprotein. It is involved in the co-translational targeting of proteins to membranes. The eukaryotic SRP consists of a 300-nucleotide 7S RNA and six proteins: SRPs 72, 68, 54, 19, 14, and 9.
Source: RNAcentral
ACCCAGCAUGGUGGCGCGUGCCUGUAGUCACAGCUACUCAGGAGGCUGACGUGGGAGGAUCACUUGAGCCCAGGAGUUCUGGGCUGUAGUGCGCUAUGCCGAUCAGGUGCCUGCACUAAGUUCAGCAUCAAUAUGGUGACCUCCCGGGAGUCAGUUGCCUAAGGAAGGGUGAACUGGCCCAGGCUGGAAAUGGAGUAGGUCAAAACUCCUGUGCUGAUCAGUAGUGGGAUCGCACCUGUGAAUAGCCACUGCACUCCAGCCUGGGCAACAUAGCAAGACCCCCAUCUCU